RNAcentral lists this long non-coding RNA (5215 nucleotides) under Brassica napus (rape). Its description in RNAcentral is "long non-coding RNA (BNAP_LNC002079)". The record is from RNAcentral. Lineage: Eukaryota; Viridiplantae; Streptophyta; Magnoliopsida; Brassicales; Brassicaceae.
UGCCGGUUCGGCCAUGGCCAUGUAUUUUCCGUCGGACGUGUAGCGGAUCGACCGGAUUGCUCCAAGGUUACCCUUCAGGACAGCAACAGAGUGAGAUAGGUUGCGGAUGUCCCAUACACGGCAGGUCUUGUCUUGGUUUCCAGUUGAGAAAGUGAUUCCGUCAGGAUGCCACGCUGAGGCAAAGGAGUAGUCAAAAUGUCCUGAUAGUGUUUCCAGCGUCUGUAGAUGAAGUUUUAAAGAUUUGGCAUUAUAAAAGUGGUGACCAACCAUUUGAGACUAACUUACACACUUGAGUUCAGGAUCGAAAAUAUUUGUACCUUUCCUGUGUUGGGGUCUACUAUAAGGCCCUCGGGAUUGCCGCCAACAAUAGCUAGUAAUUUACCAUUAGGACUCAAUGAUGUGUGCUGUUACCAACAAAUGGAGGACAGAAGAACAUCAUUAGCCAAACUGAAACUCCGAAUUAUGCCAAAAUAAAAGGAAAACUAUGAGAGAAGCAAGGACUUUACGUUCACUGGCCAAGGAAAGGAAAAAUGCUUAACAAGCUGGUAUCUCUCCAUGUCAAAAUCUCUAACUCCACAGUCAUUAUUCGAGGCAGUAAAAUGAAGGGCACCACUAUGAACAGAUGACAAAAACUAAGUUAGAAGCAGUGACUCUAACAAUUUAAAUGUAAACCCUUCAGCAGAAACCUGGGUUUGUUGUAGAUCUCAAUAGCAUUGGUAAUAGCAUUAUCAUCAUAAGAAGUACAAGAGCAAAAGCUGACACCAGGUCUAUCAAGAUGCUGAAACCAAUGUGGAAAGUAGAAAGAUGUUUUUCCUACAAAUUUGCAAAACCACAUUUUCAGGCCAAAGUCGUAAAAUCAUAUCCCCCAAAAUCAUGAAAUUACGCUUCCCGCAAAAACCGUGAAAUAUUUUUUUCCCGGAAAACCAUAUAUCAUGUUUUCGCGUCAAAACCGUAAAAUUAUGUUUUUCCACCAAAAUCGUAAAAUCACAUUUUUCGCCAAAACUAUGUUAGAACCGUAAAAUCAUGAUUUUUGCAAAAAAUCGCAAAAUUAAGUUUUUCCGUCAAAACCGUAAAUCACAUUUUCCUCAAAACCACAAAUUACGUUUUCCCACUUUCUUGGUAUAAGAAUUAUUCAUGUCUACCACCACUAAAGAGAUAUUUAAAAAAAAACAUUAUUCAUUAAGUGGCAAAAGACUCUUAUAUCUUUGUUCUAUAUAUAUAUGAUAAAUAAUUAUUUAAAUAAACUAAAAAAUAUUUUUUUUAUAUCCCCUUAUAUUAAAUUUUUGAAGUUAUAAAUAUGGUCAACUUGAUAAUUUUAAUUAUUUAAGGCACUUUACAAACAAAUAAAAUGAUAAGGACUAAAAUAUAAUAACUUAAGAAAAUAAGUCAAUAUAUUUUAGUAUAGACUGACACGUGUCAGUUACGAGGCAUGUUUUAGCUAUUUAUUACUCCCUCCGGUUUUUAAUAUAAGUCGUUUUAAAGAAAUUUUUUUGUUCCAAAUUAUAUGUCGUUUUCGAUUUUCUAUGUAAAAUUUAUUAAUAAUUAAUGAUGUCUGACCAAUGAUAAUAUAUUUUCUAUUUUUCUAUUGGUUGAAUUGUAGUUAGGUAAAUAAUUAAUGAUGUUUUUGUUUAGAAAAUAUAAGAAAUUAAUGAUUUUCUUAAUCUAUGUGCAUAGCUGUAAGACGACUUAUAUUAAAAAACGGAGGGAGUAUAAGUUUAGGUAUGAACUUCAAAAUUUUAUUUAGUUUACGAAUGUUUUAGCACGUUAAUAUACUCUAGAUAUAUAUUUUUUCCGCUUUCAUAGUGUGAAUAUGAAUAAACCGUUUUCCCCAGUAAGAAACAGACAACAAACGAAGUUAGAAGCAGUGACUUUUAACAAUCUAAUGCGGACAGCAAAAGAAAGAGGCAAAAAACCUGGGUUUGUUGUAGAUUUCAAUAGCAUUGGUAAUAGCAUUAUCAUCAUAAGUAGUACGAGAGAAAAAGCUGACCCCAGGUCUAUCAAGAUGCUGAAACCAAAGUGGAAAGUAGAAAUAGAUGAAGCUUUGUCAAUAAUAAUGCAUAUGGCUACUCAAUAAUCAAUAUAUCCAGACUCUUGACUUUGCAUAUAAGAUCUCCUUGAAAUCCACCGGCAAUUAUUCGUCUUUUAUUGCAAGUGUGCUUAUAUGUGUAAACUCUUCCAGCAAACUUCCAUGGUGUUUCUAAGGGGCUGCUAGUUGGAGUUUGAUUUAUAUAGAUUUUGUUGAUUAGAAGAGUAUAUAGACUUGUUGAAUUUGGAAUGAGUUGGAGAAAAUUUUGUAACAAUCUAUAAAAAUAAAUAACUCAAAUAUUUUUUAGAAUCCAAAGGAUAUAUGUAGUACUUUUUAUGAGUUAAAUAAUUAAGAAUACAAUUCUCAAUAACAGUAACUUUAAUAAAUUUACAGAAAUAUUAAAAUCCAAACUUUCGAAUAACAAAUGAUUUUUAGAUUUUAGUGAGAAUAUGAAAAUCUAUAAAUCAAUAACACUACUAUUUAAAUUCUAAAAAUUAAUUCCACUAACACCUUCUAAAUGCACCAAAAAAUCAAAUAAGUAUAUUAUUUUAAUGGGCCGUGUGGUUAGACAAACUCAUUAACUAAUCAAUGGGCUUUAUUAACAUUAUCUCACCAAUCUAGUCAAUGUAUAUAGAUAUGUAUCUAGCCAAAAAAGGGAAGCAAUCUUAAAUUGUAUCUUUUUGGUCUUGUUAAGACUAAAACAGUCAUUAACACAUCAGCAAUACUUAUCUAAUUAAUUAAUUACAUUUAUUUUUUAAAUAUCAUUAAAGCUUUGAAUGUUUACAACCACACCAUAGUUAAUAAUUACGAAAAUCUCUACAUAUAUUUGUGUAUAUCAGAAACGCAAAUGUAGUUGUUACACAAGCUAACAUUCAGACCUUAUGUUUUCUCCUUAGGUGUUAAGGAACUGAUUUAUUAUAAAGAUAAUAAGGUCCUCACAAACUCUCCAUUCACCAACACAGCAAAAAAAAUUAAUUACAUUUAUUUUUUAAAUAUCAUUAAAGCUUUGAAUGUUUACAACCACACCAUAGUUAAUAAUUACGAAAAUCUCUACAUAUAUUUGUGUAUAUCAGAAACGCAAACGUAGUUGUUACACAAGCUAACAUUCAGACCUUAUGUUUUCUCCUUAGGUGUUAAGGAACUGAUUUAUUAUAAAGAUAAUAAGGUCCUCACAAACUCUCCAUUCACCAAGACAGCAAAAAAAAGAUGUCAACAGUUUCACCCUCCUCGCAACUGGUUCAGGUGGUUCCAGACAACCACAACAACACUGACGACUCCUCUGCGGAGGUCAACUACGAAGAUCUUGUCCGUAAGUCAUGUCUAUUUGACCUUUUAUUUGACAUUAAGGUUCAUUAGUUUCCUCACAGGUUUAAAACAUUUUACAACACUCAUGUUCUUGUUUUCUCUUUACUUUGUAACAUGCUGAGACACCAUACCUCUUAUGUUUUUCAGAGGAAGCAAUGGAGAGCUUGUCCCUCGAGGAAGGUAUUAAAAAAAGGUUUCUCUAACUCUGUGGCUUUGUAUCACUUUGCGACUUAUUGAAUUUCCACCUUAUGGAACUUGCAGGCACUGUUGAACCGCAGAUUGGGGAUGUGGGAGACGGAGUCAUUGAUGGGACGACGUCCGAAGGUGGAUACCUGGUGACGAUGAAAUUCGGUUCUCAAGUGCUGAAAGGAGUGCUUUACCAUCAUGCUAAAAGGCCCCAACAAGCCAUGGGAACACCACCUUCAGGCAUGCCACCAGCAUCACAGCGCCGAGCUAAGAAGAAAGCCAGAGAGACUACUCAAGUUGAUUCUAAGAAACCCAAAUUCCGCAGGAGUGGCUACAAACCUAAGAAACAGGUCACUUACUUAUAGUUAUCAUCAAAUCAAAUCCUUUAACCAAGUGUUUGCUUAUAAUCUGAUACCAUUUUCUUACAGGUUUAUCAAGACAAAGGAGUUACGGAUGGGGAGAGGUACAGAACUGAGAUCAUGCUGGAGUACGAGUCUGCACAUGAGUCUGAUGGAGCAUCUGCUUCUGCAGCCGCCACCAUGGCUCAGUAGUCUUUUCUUUCUUCUGUUAUGUUGUUGUCUUCUUCUUUCUUUAUUACAUUUCUCUUUCUUCUUUCUUUCUCUGGACAAGUUCUCUUUCUUUUAUAAUGAAUAUUUAUAAUGUCAUUGAUCAGUUUGCAGAACAUGUCAUGUUUAUGGUUGUAGGGUUAGUAAAAGAGGUUACUAACUGCGCAUUUAUGUCUUUCUUGCUAUUUUGAUUCAUGAUAUCCCGUUUGUUUGUUUUUUUUGUUUCUGUUUUCAACUUGGAUAUAUCUUAUGUUGUUGCAGAAAUUUGAAUGAACUAUUAUUACUCUUUCCGUUCCAAAUUAAUUCAUGUUUAAAAAAAAAGUAUUUUAAGAAGAUAUAUUUUUAUUAGAUAAUAAUGUAAAAUUUUAAAUUUUGAAAAGAAAUCAUGUUUACUGUACUUCGAUGGAUAAAAAUUAUAGAAAAUAUAGUUAAACACAAAAUAAUGCAUUUAUAAUUAAGAUCAAACAUAUUUUUAAUAUGUGUGGAAAAAUUUAAAACAUACAUUUUUUGAAAUGGGGUAGGGAACAUCAUUUAUUUAACACAUAUGUUUCUUGAAUCCCAUUUUUGUUGUUAGUUUUCAAGAGUUUCAACAUGUUCUCCCAACAUAUAAAAAGCUUGUUUGAUAAUCAAUUUGUGAAAUAACCAAAAAUAAAGAGAGGAUGGGUGAUUUUGGUUAGUUAGUGAAUUUUUGUUUUUUUUUUUGUAUAUUAUUUCAAUAGCAUUGGUAAUAGCAUUAUCAUCAUAAGUAGUACGAGAGAAAAAGCUGACCCCAGGUCUAUCAAGAUGCUGAAACCAAAGUGGAAAGUAGAAAUAGAUGAAGCUUUGUCAAUAAUAAUGCAUAUGGCUUCUCUUUUUUUUUUGCGCAACGCAUAUGGCUACUCAAUAAUCAAUAUAUCCAGACUCUUGACUUUGCAUAUAAGAUCUCCUUGGCAGGUCUUGUCUUGGUUUCCAGUUGAGAAAGUGAUUCCGUCAGGAUGCCACGCUGAGGCAAAGGAAUAGUCAAAAUGUCCUGAUAGUGUUUCCAGCGUCUGUGGAUGAAGUUCCAAAGAUUUGGCAUUAUAAAGCAACCAUUUGAGACUAACUUACACACUUGGGUUCAGGAUCGAAAAGAUUUGUACCUUUCCUGUGUUGG